RNAcentral lists this ribosomal RNA (497 nucleotides) under uncultured bacterium. RNAcentral describes it as "partial 16S ribosomal RNA". It matches the Rfam family "Bacterial small subunit ribosomal RNA", at positions 28 to 507 of the family's 1533-position model. The record is from RNAcentral.
GAUGAACGCUGGCGGCGUGCCUAAUACAUGCAAGUCGAGCGAACAGACGAGGAGCUUGCUCCUCUGACGUUAGCGGCGGACGGGUGAGUAACACGUGGAUAACCUACCUAUAAGACUGGGAUAACUUCGGGAAACCGGAGCUAAUACCGGAUAAUAUAUUGAACCGCAUGGUUCAAUAGUGAAAGACGGUUUUGCUGUCACUUAUAGAUGGAUCCGCGCCGCAUUAGCUAGUUGGUAAGGUAACGGCUUACCAAGGCAACGAUGCGUAGCCGACCUGAGAGGGUGAUCGGCCACACUGGAACUGAGACACGGUCCAGACUCCUACGGGAGGCAGCAGUAGGGAAUCUUCCGCAAAGGGCGAAAGCCUGACGGAGCAACGCCGCGUGAGUGAUGAAGGUCUUCGGAUCGUAAAACUCUGUUAUUAGGGAAGAACAAAUGUGUAAGUAACUAUGCACGUAUUGACGGUACCUAAUCAGAAAGCCACGGCUAACUACGUG